CAGCAGAACAAGAAGAAGAACCAGCAUAAGAAGAACAGAGUAAAAAGAUUCCAACAGACUGGAAGAUUCCCUUCUGUCAAUAUUCACUUAAAAAUCACCCUGUAGGCAAAGUAAAGCUUUUUUUUUUUUUUUAAUUCUAUCUCAUGAAACCACUAACCUUAUUUAGAUAUUCUAGAUUCGUCAAAUCUGGCGCAAGAU
Long non-coding RNA from Thalassophryne amazonica, 198 nucleotides. RefSeq lists it as uncharacterized. The transcript has 3 exons. Lineage: Eukaryota; Metazoa; Chordata; Actinopteri; Batrachoidiformes; Batrachoididae. The record is from RefSeq and is a predicted model, not a curated record.